Molecule: ribosomal RNA, 557 nt
Filed under: uncultured bacterium
Lineage: Bacteria
Description: bacterial SSU rRNA
Rfam family: Bacterial small subunit ribosomal RNA
Source: RNAcentral
ACGGGUGAGUAACGCGUGGGAACGUGCCCUUCGGUUCGGAAUAACUCAGGGGAACUUGAGCUAAUACCGGAUACGUGCGAGAGCAGAAAGGUUUACUGCCGAAGGAUCGGCCCGCGUCUGAUUAGCUAGUUGGUGAGGUUAUGGCUCACCAAGGCGACGAUCAGUAGCUGGUCUGAGAGGAUGAUCAGCCACACUGGGACUGAGACACGGCCCAGACUCCUACGGGAGGCAGCAGUGGGGAAUAUUGGACAAUGGGGGCAACCCUGAUCCAGCCAUGCCGCGUGAGUGAUGACGGCCUUAGGGUUGUAAAGCUCUUUUCUCCGGGACGAUAAUGACGGUACCGGAGGAAUAAGCCCCGGCUAACUUCGUGCCAGCAGCCGCGGUAAUACGAAGGGGGCUAGCGUUGCUCGGAAUCACUGGGCGUAAAGGGCGCGUAGGCGGCUGAUUUAGUCGAGGGUGAAAGCCCGUGGCUCAACCACGGAAUGGCCUUCGAUACUGAUUGGCUUGAGACCGGAAGAGGACAGCGGAACUGCGAGUGUAGAGGUGAAAUUCGUAGA